Molecule: long non-coding RNA, 1446 nt
Filed under: Taeniopygia guttata (zebra finch)
Lineage: Eukaryota; Metazoa; Chordata; Aves; Passeriformes; Estrildidae
Description: lncRNA (ENSTGUG00000021499.1)
Source: RNAcentral
AAACUCCCCAAAACCACUCCAAAACCACCCCAAAAACAUCCCCAAAAACAUCCCCAAAACCAGCCCAAAACCAGCACAAAAACAGCCCAAAAACAUCCCCAAAACCAGCCCAAAACCAGCACAAAAACAGCCCAAAAGCAUCCCAAAAACACCCCCAAAAACACCCCAAAAACACCCCCAAAAUCACCCCAAAAACAUCCCCACAAACAUCCCCAAAACCACCACAAAAACAGCCCAAAAACACCCCAAAAACACCCAAAAACCCCCCCAAAAACAGCCCAAAACCACCCCAAAAAAACCCCAAAAACAUCCCCAAAAUCACGCCCAAAACCAGCCCAAAAUCACCCCAAAAACAUCCCCAAAAACAUCCCCAAAACCACCACAAAACCAGCCCAAAACCACCCCCAAAAAACAGCCCAAAAACACCCCCAAAAACAGCCCAAAACCACCCCAAAACCAGACCAAAAACAUCCCCAAACCACCCCAAAACCCCCCAGGAACACCCCAAAAACAGCCAAAAAACCACCCCAUAAACAUCCCCCAAACCACCCCAAAACCAGCCUAAAAACAGCCCAAAAACAUCCCCAAAACCGCCCCAAAAACACCACAAAACCAACCCCAAAAACAUCCCCAAAACCAGCCCAAAACCAGCCCCAAAAACACCCUAAAACCACCCCAAAAACAUCCCCAAAACCAUCUCCAAAACCACCCCCAAACCAGCCCAAAACCACCCCAAAAACACCCCAAAAACAUCCCCAAAACCAGCCCAAAACCCCCCGAAAUCCCCCAAAAACCCCCAAAACCCCCCCAAAACCGCCCCUCCCCCCUCACCAUCCAGGGGCAGCGGCUCCUUCAGGGACCCCCCCCCAUUUUCGGAGGGGUCCCGGUAACUGUGGGGGGAGGGGCGAGGGUCAGCGGGGAGACCCCAAAAUCCCCCCAAAAAUCCCCCCAAAAUCCCUCCCCAAAAUCCCCCCAAAAAUCCCCCAAAAAUCGUCCCCAAAAUCCUCCCAAAAUCCUCCCCAAAUCCCCCCAAAAUCCCCCCAAAAUCCUCCCCAAAUCCCCCCAAAAAUCCCUCCAAAAUCCUCCCAAAAUCGCCCCAAAAUCCCCCCAAAAAUCCCCCAAAAUCCUCCCCAAAAUCCCCCCCAAAAUCUUCCCAAAAUUCUCCCCAAAACCCUCCCCAAAAUCCCCCCAAAUCCCCCCAAAUCCCCCCCCAAAUCCCCCCAAAUCCCCCCCAAAAUCCUCCCAAAAUCCCCCCAAAAUCCUCCCAAAAUCCUCCCCAAAAUCCCCCCAAAAAUCCCCCAAAUUCCCGCCAAAAUCCUCCCCAAAUCCUCCCCAAAUCCACCCAAAAUCCCCCCAAAAUCCCCCCAAAAUCCCCCGGGGAGCUGGGGGGGCACGGGAGGGGGUUUUGGGGUGGGUUUGGGGGUCCCUGGGUGGGUUUUGGGGUAA